UGAAUUCAUGUGACAGAUGAGUCAGAAGCUCUUCGUCAUUAUUGGACCUAAUUUUGCGCAAGGUUGGGUGAUUGAAUCAGUGAAGACAAAGCUAAACAAAGAAUCAUGAAGGCGAGUACUAGAAAGGGUGGUUGUUGGCGUAGGUUGAGUUCAGAUUGUCUAACCAUUUGUAAGGAGUCAGGACGUUUAUUUAUAGGUGAUAAGGAGUCAUCUCGAGGACUGGUGAUAUUAUGGAUGGAUUGUGUAAAAGAGGGAGCUUGUUACUUAGCCACUUAAUCUUGUAAUCUUAAGUGUCUUUAUUGUCUGAAAUAGCAACCUGGGGUCAGUGUCGUUUGCCUUAGUAUAGAGGCUAAUUAUGUCGCCCAUGUGACCUGCUGUGCCUGAGUUUCUAUGUGGCAGAAGGGAAAGGGUUUGGAUGAGACAAGACCAUUGGUGCCAAAAAGGGGAGUGCAGAUGGAUUCUAUGUGGAGUACCAUUGAUGCCCACUCUGACCUGAGAUCGUACUUAGGAACCACAAAAGGUGCAGGGCCUUCAAAGGGUAGACCGACGAUUCGUCAAGUUCACUCCAGCUCCGAGUCUAGAGACGACUUGAGUAUCCACUGUUUCAGGAAGGUGUGAAAUUGGGUCCCACAAUUGCCCUCAUGGGGUAUUGUUACUAAGACCAUGUUACCUUUCUCGGAUCGAGAUUUGCCACUCCGCGGGGCUUUCUUAGUAUUUGGUCGCAUGGGUCAACAUUUGACAUUUUGAAGAGGUAGGCUUAGUCGACUGUUGGGUGAGCCAAUUUGGGAAGAUAGAGUUAAUGAAGGGAAAUCUAUGAGAUUCAUGUAUGGGAUUUCUAAAUGACUAUCAUGCAUAUGCAAAACAAUUAUGAUAUACGAAAGCAGCGGAAGCAUUUAUAACAUAUUAUCAAAGCUAUAGUCAUGCAAAUCCCCUUCAAGGUUCAUAGGUUUAUAUAUAAUGCAUCAAAACAAAUUAUAGAAUCAAGAACAAAGUGAAGGUUAGUCUUAUACCUCUUGAUCUAGACUUGAGACCAAGGAUGGACCACCUCCAAGCCCUUUGCUCCUUGAAAUCCUUGAGCCUAGCUUCCCUCCUUGCCUCCUCCACUUUGAAAGAAUGAGUGCUCCUAGGUUCUCUUCAAGUUUCCAAAGUAGGAAACCUCUAAAGAUCCUCACCCACUAAUGUAGUGAGAAGGAUGAAGGAAUAACCAAAAGGGUGAAAGAUUGUUAGCUAAAACACCCCAAUGGUGGCCAGCCCUUUGAUGUGUUAGAGAGCUUUUUCUUUUGCCUCUUUGUUGUUUAAACACUUCAAAAAACCCUAAUGAACUUUAUCACUAUAAAGUUCCUUAUAUGGACAAACGAAAACCUAGUCAACACUUGACUAAAUAUCUCUCCUUCCCCACAUAAUAUGGCCGGCCCUCUUUGUGUUGUUUUGGGCUUUGGGCUUUCAUUUAUUUCAAGUCAUCCAAUGCUUGAAUAAAAGCCCAAUGGGUUUAGGCCCAAUGGGCCCAAUUAAACCCGAACUUUCUUUAAGCCCAAAACGAUCUUUAUCGCUUUUAUGAUUUCUUUAGACUUUUCUAAAUUAAUCACAACACA
This 1592-nucleotide long non-coding RNA is filed under the name Malus domestica (apple). RNAcentral's name for it is "long non-coding RNA (MDOM_LNC016883)". Lineage: Eukaryota; Viridiplantae; Streptophyta; Magnoliopsida; Rosales; Rosaceae. The record is from RNAcentral.